Molecule: ribosomal RNA, 198 nt
Filed under: uncultured bacterium
Lineage: Bacteria
Description: partial 16S ribosomal RNA
Rfam family: Bacterial small subunit ribosomal RNA
Source: RNAcentral
ACGCUCGACACCUACGGGAGGCAGCAGUCGGGAAUAUUGCGCAAUGGAGGAAACUCUGACGCAGUGACGCCGCGUAUAGGAAGAAGGUUUUCGGAUUGUAAACUAUUGUCGUUAGGGAAGAAAAAGGACAGUACCUAAGGAGGAAGCUCCGGCUAACUACGUACCAGCAGCCGGGUAAUCUGAGCGGGCUGGCAAGGC